AAGGGCAUAUCAUGGAGAUGCAUUUCUUUUUAUCUUUCACAUCAUUUAAAGGAAAUCAGAAGAAACUUCUCAAACUGUAUAGCCCAGGAAGGUAGACACGACAUCGACAUGUCUGAGUUGGACCGCCGUAUUCUUCAGCAUUCGGUCACAGCGAAUUGAAGUCCCUCAUUCAUGUCAUCAUGGAGGAUGAUGAAGACGUUCCUGUGAGAGUACAGCUAAGUAGCUGCACUGAUGAAUAUUAUGAGGAAGAGGUGCCACCCGAGGAGUUUUAAGUCCUGCAUCGUACUGCACAGCUACUUCAUCAUCAUCAUCAAUAUCAUUCA
Polypterus senegalus (gray bichir) is the source of this 323-nucleotide long non-coding RNA. RefSeq lists it as uncharacterized. NCBI's taxonomy places the organism in Eukaryota, Metazoa, Chordata, Cladistia, Polypteriformes, Polypteridae. The transcript has 3 exons. The record is from RefSeq and is a predicted model, not a curated record.